RNAcentral lists this ribosomal RNA (123 nucleotides) under Hesperothamnus pentaphyllus. RNAcentral's name for it is "partial 18S ribosomal RNA". It matches the Rfam family "Eukaryotic small subunit ribosomal RNA", at positions 1713 to 1831 of the family's 1831-position model. The record is from RNAcentral. Lineage: Eukaryota; Viridiplantae; Streptophyta; Magnoliopsida; Fabales; Fabaceae.
GAUUGCGGCGACGUGGGCGGUUCGCUGCCCGCGACGUUGUGAGAAGUCCACUGAACCUUACCAUUUAGAGGAAGGAGAAGUCGUAACAAGGUUUCCGUAGGUGAACCUGCGGAAGGAUCAUUG